This 525-nucleotide long non-coding RNA is filed under the name Sparus aurata (gilthead seabream). RNAcentral describes it as "lncRNA (ENSSAUG00010011759.1)". The record is from RNAcentral. Lineage: Eukaryota; Metazoa; Chordata; Actinopteri; Spariformes; Sparidae.
CCAGCCUGCAAACACUUGGUGAAUGUCAGUUCAUCCACUCCUACCUAAUAAAGAAUGAGAGCAUCGUCCAAGUGGGAGAGUUUAGUGUCACACGGAUGGAGGUGGUUUUCACCAUCGACAGUGCCGUCACGAGGGAUUCGGGUCAUUACAGCUGUGUGGUGCUGCCCUCCAACUGCAUCCAGGAGCACAAGAUAACAAUCCAAGGAAAUAACACAGUAUUACUCGAGGUCAAAGACAGUUUGUUCCUCCAAGUGAUUGUCUCCAGUUCAGUGAUAACCCUGAUUUUGUUACUGAUCCUGUGUCUGUGUUGCAUCGACAAAUCAGACUGUUCAGCUUCGUGCAUACCAUGGGCGGUGACUCAGCCGGCAGAUACAGAGAUGUUGGAGGAGCAGCCGGAGCAGACAGAGGGAGAGGAUCUGGAAUCACAAGAUGGUAUGUUGAUAAAGGGAUUCCAGUGAAGACACACUCUGGGGAGACUGUAACGAAAUUACCUCCAGAGACUUUGAAAAGAAAACACGGUCUAGC